GUGGCAUCUUUUUGAACUCCCUCGACCGUCCAAACUUCCAUAAUACCAUCUGGACUUCUCUGAUAAUGAGUUCCUCCAUUCAUCUAUCGAGCUGCUCCAAACGCUUUCUGAGCUUCACUAUCAGCCAAUUUUCUAUAAUGAUCGACUAUUCUCCGAACCUCUUCCAAACUUCUUACAGCCACGAAUAACUUUAUUUCGAACUUCUUUUGGACUCCAUCAAUGUCUGAGCUUUUCCAACAGCAGGACUUCUACAGUAACCUGAUUCCAUCUAAGUUUCUACGACAGUCGACCACCUUCCGAAUUUCAUCCGAGCUCCUACGAGAGCUGGAUCCCAGCCGAACUUCUACAGCGAAUGAAUUUCAGAUGAACUUCUACAAC
RNAcentral lists this long non-coding RNA (378 nucleotides) under Elaeis guineensis (African oil palm). Its description in RNAcentral is "long non-coding RNA (EGUI_LNC077126)". Lineage: Eukaryota; Viridiplantae; Streptophyta; Magnoliopsida; Arecales; Arecaceae. The record is from RNAcentral.